UACGUAGGGUGCAAGCGUUGUCCGGAAUUAUUGGGCGUAAAGAGCUUGUAGGCGGUUUGUCGCGUCUGCCGUGAAAAUUCGAGGCUCAACCUCGAACUUGCGGUGGGUACGGGCAGACUAGAGUGUGGUAGGGGAGACUGGAAUUCCUGGUGUAGCGGUGAAAUGCGCAGAUAUCAGGAGGAACACCGAUGGCGAAGGCAGGUCUCUGGGCCACUACUGACGCUGAGAAGCGAAAGCAUGGGGAGCGAACGGG
Molecule: ribosomal RNA, 253 nt
Filed under: uncultured bacterium
Lineage: Bacteria
Description: partial 16S ribosomal RNA
Rfam family: Bacterial small subunit ribosomal RNA
Source: RNAcentral